GAGGUUAUAGAUCAGUGGUAGAGCACAUGCUUAGCAUGCAUGAAGUCCUGGGUUCAAUCCCCAGUACCCUGG
RNAcentral lists this transfer RNA (72 nucleotides) under Camelus bactrianus (Bactrian camel). It matches the Rfam family "tRNA". From Rfam's summary of the family: Transfer RNA (tRNA) molecules are approximately 80 nucleotides in length. Their secondary structure includes four short double-helical elements and three loops (D, anti-codon, and T loops). The record is from Rfam by way of RNAcentral. RNAcentral also lists the same sequence under 2 other names. Lineage: Eukaryota; Metazoa; Chordata; Mammalia; Artiodactyla; Camelidae.